Mus caroli (Ryukyu mouse) is the source of this 320-nucleotide non-coding RNA. The record is from RefSeq and is a predicted model, not a curated record. Lineage: Eukaryota; Metazoa; Chordata; Mammalia; Rodentia; Muridae.
AGGGAACAUUCUGCAGUAUAAAGGGCGCGAGGAAGGCGGGAGACGGCGCAGUUUGAAUCGCGGUCCGACGGAGGAGUGGGCGCCGGGAUCUCGCUGAGCGUCCGCCUGGCUUCGUCUCUUCCUCGCUCGUCGGAGCUUCAGCACGGUCCGAGAUGGCUGGCGGUAAGGCUGGAAAGGACUCCGGAAAGGCCAAGACAAAGGCGGUUUCCCGCUCGCAGCGAGCCGGCUUGCAGUUCCCUGUGGGCCGUAUUCAUCGACACCUGAAAUCUAGGACAACCAGCCACGGACGUGUGGGCGCGACCGCCGCUGUGUACAGCGCA